Molecule: ribosomal RNA, 465 nt
Filed under: uncultured bacterium
Lineage: Bacteria
Description: bacterial SSU rRNA
Rfam family: Bacterial small subunit ribosomal RNA
Source: RNAcentral
GACGAACGCUGGCGGCGUGCCUAAUACAUGCAAGUCGAGCGGAAUGAUGAAGAAGCUUGCUUCUUCUGAUUUUAGCGGCGGACGGGUGAGUAACACGUGGGCAACCUACCUUGUAGAUUGGGAUAACUCCGGGGAAACCGGGGCUAAUACCGAAUAAUCCAUUUCGCUUCAUGGCGAAAUGUUAAAAGAACGGCGAUCUCGCUGUCACUACGAGAUGGGCCCGCGGCGCAUAGCUAGUUGGUAGGGUAACGGCCUACCAAGGCGACGAUGCGUAGCCGACCUGAGAGGGUGAUCGGCCACACUGGGACUGAGACACGGCCCAGACUCCUACGGGAGGCAGCAGUAGGGAAUCUUCCACAAUGGACGAAAGUCUGAUGGAGCAACGCCGCGUGAGUGAAGAAGGUUUUCGGAUCGUAAAACUCUGUUGUAAGGGAAGAACACGUACGAGAGUAACUGCUCGUACUU